This is a long non-coding RNA of Bos taurus (domestic cattle), 429 nucleotides long. Lineage: Eukaryota; Metazoa; Chordata; Mammalia; Artiodactyla; Bovidae. The record is from Ensembl.
GCGGCCCAUGGGCACCUAUGUCCCACCUGAAGGGUGACGGGUGAGCCCACCGUCCCUGCAGCAGAGGCCAGCCCCCCCCACCCAGACAGGAGGGCCUGCGCACGCGGAGCCUGGUCGAGAGCCAGCUCCGCUGUUUGCGAAAGAGCAGAUGAACCGGGCUCCGGCUCAGCCAAGCAGCCUCCAGCAGAGCUGCCCUGCCUGCCACGUCGGCUGCACCCUACCUGGUCUCUGCCACGGAGUGCCCCCCGCACCCUGGGGCCCAUCACUGUGCCCAGCGGGGCCACCACCUGGGGCCAGAGGAGGCCAAGGGGACCCUCCGACAGACAGGACAGCCCGUCUCCCCAGGCCAGUGCCCCGCCUCUCCCCUCCUUGACCCACCCCUGCAUGACCCUUCCCAACCCUUGACUGACCCUCUCGCCUGCCCCCUUG